This is a non-coding RNA of Gambusia affinis (western mosquitofish), 895 nucleotides long. Lineage: Eukaryota; Metazoa; Chordata; Actinopteri; Cyprinodontiformes; Poeciliidae. The record is from the annotation of a RefSeq genome assembly.
AAAGGUUGUUAAUUUCAAAUGUUACUUUUAUGCAGAUAAACAGAACACAUAUUUCAAUUUCCAGUAUAGUUUUGCGGAUUUCAGCAUAAAAAAGAGCUCAGACAGUCAUUUUGCAAAGCACACAAAAAUACACAAUGCCUAAAAUAUAUGAUGGUACCUGUGAUGAUAAAUAAUAUAAUCACAUAGAUCCAAAAUCCCUGUUGGAGUCAUUCAGAAUAUUUCCAUAGAGUCACUUUGCAUCAGCAGCUCCAUGCUCCAGUGCUCUGGGAGAGUUUAUAGUCCUGACAGUUGAACACUGGAUGACUGACAGCUGUCCUUCAUCACAACUGAAGACACAGAAAUCCUCCUCAUCAAAAACAUGACUUUGAUCUGCGUCCUCAUCUGGACUCUCCUCUGCUGCUGCUUCACAGAGGUCAGAGGUCAGGUCACAGUGACUCAGCCUGCAACAGUGAGAGCUGAUCUAGGAGGAUUUGUAAUCAUCAGAUGUAGAACCAGUCAGAAUGUUUAUGUGGACAGCCAUGGCCACCGUUUAGCCUGGUACCAACAGAAAGAUGGACAAACUCCUAAGCUCCUCAUUUAUAAGGCUAACACUCGAGCAUCGGGGACUCCAGGUCGUUUUCCAGGCAGUGGAUCAAACUCUGACUUCACUCUCACCAUCAGUGGAAUUCAGGCUGAAGAUGCUGCAGUUUAUUACUGUCAGAGUUUUCAUAAUAUUGGGAGUCAGUGGGUGUUCACACAGUGAAAAACAGUCGUACAAAAACCUUCCUCAAUCAAACUGAACUGAAACUCAAGUUUCAAUGCAUUGUCAGUGGCAGCUGGAAGCUGCAGUAAAGACAGACACAAUUAAAUGAAAACAAGUUGGAGUGUGUUCAAAGACUGGCUGAAAGCAUUUGAU